CUGAGCCUGCUGUUAGGGUCUGGGCAGCACUGAUUCUCACCUUGGCCCUCCCAGCCUGAGCACCGGAGUUCCUGACCAGCCAAAAUUGGGUUGGACGAAUUCCUCUACAGAAGCCCCAAGCCUCCAGGCUGGCCCCAAGGCCUGGCCAAGGCUUGUGCUGUAUUCCCCCACUUCAGUGGGGAGGAGUGGUGAAGAGCAUGCUGUUGAUGGCCUCAUUGUGAACCACAUCUGUGCCACUUCUUAAGCUGUGUGAAUAAGCUGUGUGACUCUGGGCAAGUUACCACACCUCUCUGAGUUUCCUGGUGAUAAAAUGAAGGUAAUCAUUCCUAGCCUGCACAGCUCCUCAGGCUGCUGUGAGCUCCCAUCAAACAAUGGAUGCAAACUUGCUUAGCAAACUAUCCAGAUCCUUAGGAUGAGUUGAACCACCACUAAGAUACAUCUGUGCUGAAGGCCUCAGAUCGGCACUUCUCUGAAGAACGUUCCAGAAAAGAGUGGAAAACAUUGUUUUAGGUGGGCCCCUCUUGGAGGCUCAGGAGGCAUGCUAGCAUAGUAAAGGCUCUGAUAAGUCCUGCCGCAAGGAGAUUUUCUCAAGUUUGUUUGCUCACGGAAGUCCUUUGGGCAGAACACCCACCAGCAUCCUACAGUCUCUGCUCUGCCAUCCAUGAUGAACGGUCUGCCUACAGAACGGUCUGUGACUUUCUCUUGGUGGCUGUUGGGCUGGGAGGACCCAGACAAGAUCAGUCCCAGUUAUAUCCACCGAAUACAGAUCCACGGAUGUCCCCAGGUUGGUGGCUGCGUCUUUGCCCCAGCCUCAGUCCAUUAGAAAGUGAUCUUUGCAGCUGGAACUACUGACAUUAGCUCCAGUUCCUCCAGGUGUUAUUUCAUUCCUGGAUGCCUGAAAAUCCCUGAAAGUGCUGCUUGAGCCAAAUUCAGAAGACAUGAUAAACCAGGUUAAUUUUAGGGCCCAUGACAAUAAGCAGGUGUCCUCUCAGUGGGUUGGUUGGAUAAAUGAGUUAAUUUUGUCCAAGCUCCAAACAUCUUGGGGACUUUGGUGCUGAGGGUGCACAUAUGUGUUGGGGGGUGGGUAGGGGAAAUAGUUCCUGCAUAGAACUGCUCCAGGGGGUUUGUGGAGACCUGACAAAGGACAGCUGCAUACUCAGCACUGCAAUUACUGGUGGUAAAAUGGUCCGACGGUAGAUCCCAGUGAGGGAGCUUGGCGGGUGGGCUUGGCAUUCUUUAGAAAACCCCACAUCAGCAGCUUUGCUGGUGGGAGUGGGGGUGAUUGGGGACCUUGGUGCCUUAUCCUGAGGCUGGGCAAGGCAGUCCAGGGCAGUGGAGGGUGGGACAGAGGGGAAGGUGUUUUUCAGAGUGAUCCCAGCAAGGGCAGAGACAAGAAUGGGGGUUUUAGGCAGACCACAUAGGUCGUUGGGGGAACCUCAGCUGUGCUCUGAAGGGACUGUGUGAUGUUGGGGGGCUCCUUUGGACUCUCUGAGCCUCAAUUUCCUCAUCUGCAAAUGGAGGCAAUAAUCUCUCUCUCUCUUUCAGAAUAAUGAAUGGAAUAACUUGGGCUAAGUGCCUAGAAAUAUCUGGCACAUAAUAUGUGCUCUUGUGAAUACCAAUUCUCCCCCAUUUCUUUGGAUAAGCUCAGAGACUGGCAGAGAGGUGUUUUUUUUUUUUUUAACUUUUAAUUGAAGUGUAACAUACACAUAGAAAAGUGCAUACAGCUUUUUUUUUUUUUUAAUUUACAAUUUAUUUCAACUCUUCCAGGGCUGGGAAUGUUACAAAACCUUAAACCAAU
This 1798-nucleotide long non-coding RNA is filed under the name Homo sapiens (human). RNAcentral describes it as "HSALNT0002500". The record is from RNAcentral. Lineage: Eukaryota; Metazoa; Chordata; Mammalia; Primates; Hominidae.